GGAAGCUUAGCUCAGCUGGGAGAGCAUCUGCCUUACAAGCAGGGGGGCAGAGGUUCGAGCCCUCUUGGUCCCA
This 73-nucleotide transfer RNA is filed under the name Ruminococcus sp. RNAcentral's name for it is "tRNA-Val". It matches the Rfam family "tRNA". Rfam says of the family: Transfer RNA (tRNA) molecules are approximately 80 nucleotides in length. Their secondary structure includes four short double-helical elements and three loops (D, anti-codon, and T loops). The record is from RNAcentral. Lineage: Bacteria; Bacillati; Bacillota; Clostridia; Eubacteriales; Oscillospiraceae.